This 280-nucleotide unclassified non-coding RNA is filed under the name uncultured fungus. RNAcentral's name for it is "sequence contains ITS1". Lineage: Eukaryota; Fungi. The record is from RNAcentral.
UUUUGACGUUGUUCUUUAGCCAGAGCACCUGUGAGACCGAAGCCCCUGGUUACUCCAGAGUAAGAGAUUCAUGGUUCAUAUUUUGUCGACCCGCCUAAGCGUGCCACAAAACGUGUUAGUAAAGUGGGAAAACCGAAGCUCUCCAUUAAUAAAAAAGGUUCCGCGGGACGCAAAAGUCAAGCCUGAGUUUUACCCCAGACUCUCCUUUCGAAUUGCCACCAACCGAGGCUAGUGGACUUGAGGUGUGGUAAUGAUCCUUCCGCAGGUUCACCUACGGAAA